This is a long non-coding RNA of Planococcus citri (citrus mealybug), 1182 nucleotides long. RefSeq lists it as uncharacterized. The transcript is spliced from 5 exons. The record is from RefSeq and is a predicted model, not a curated record. NCBI's taxonomy places the organism in Eukaryota, Metazoa, Arthropoda, Insecta, Hemiptera, Pseudococcidae.
GCGGUUCGCUCGUGUUGCAUUAUUUUCGUACCUACAUUACAUUGUAUGUACAUAUUUAUCAGUACGUUCAUGUGUUAUGUUGUGUCGUACGAAUUUGAACUAUAAUGUACUAUAUGUAGCUUAGCUGCUUCAAUCACCUUCAAAUUCGUUGUAACCGGUGAGGCUAAGCCUAUACCUAAGGAGAAAAUUGAAGAAUUUUCGUAGCGAUAGCCUGCCACUGAGAUGAUUCAACGAAGGCACAGUGAUGGUUGAAAAGAACCGAUUCCGAUGUCAUUUGUGGUAAUGUGCAGUGUAAUCUGAAGAUGAGCUCUUUGAAAUACUAUUUUCGCGAUCAACUUAUUGGGAAUUUCGAGUUGGAGUCGCGAUAGCUCAGGAUGAUGUUCGAGUGCAAUUUGUUCUACUGGUUCCUGGAGAUCGAUUGGUCGAUAAUUAUAGAUGCCUCAGAAUAAGAACAAUUGCUUCGAUGUGGCACUCGGAUAGCUUUUGAAAAACGAUUUCGAUAACUGUGUGGAUGAUGUGGCAAAUAUUAUUUUUAAGCAGAUUCGUUGUAACCGAUGAAUAAUCAAACCUAUAAGACGUAUAAAUUGAAGAGUUAUUGUAGCAAUUGAAUAGGCUGCCACUGAGAUGAUUCAACGAAGACUUCGUGUUCGUAAUGGUUGAAAGGAACCGAUUCCGGUGACAUAUGAAUGAUUUUAAAAGCGAGUUCGAUAACUGAGUACGAUGUUAGAGUUCAAUUUCUUAUAUAAGUAUAACCAAGGCACGAUUGACGACAUCGUGGAAAAUAACUCAUCGAGGUGAUAAUCUGUUAUUUCGCCUUCAAGGUAACGCUGUAUUGUACUCGUAGCAAUUCUUACCUAUGUUUAAGCAGUUGAAAUUUUUUUUUUUUUGAAAAAUCCACCAUGGUUAUUGCGUAUACCUAUAAUUAAUAAUAUGCAUAAGCUGUCUCCAUAUGAUUUUUAUUAGACACUAUCCAAGUGAACUUAUACUUAUUAUAAGUUUUUUAAUGUGAUCCCAUUUUUUGACAAUGCUUUGAAUUCCUUGGAAGACUUUUAUAUUUUUGAUGAACUUUUUACGAGUCACCUUGCACCAGUCUAUGACAGAUUUCAUCGCUGUCGUAUGUAAAAAUUAACAAAUACGACGUUAUCUCGAUCCAUAUUCAUGAACGGUUAUUUUUAUAAUCGU